AAUUCAAAUCACAUACGUAUAAAAGGUUCUUUUAAUUUCUCUAUGUUUUAUCAACUCUCAAUUCCCUCUCUAAAACUCACUUUCUCUCUCUCUCUCAAAUCCAUCUCACACCAUCUGCAAAGAGAACUAGAGAAAAAAAAAGGCAUGGGCAAUUAACAGAGAACAUGGAGCUUUAAUGGCUUCUCCGAAGAAAGAUAUGCUUCUAUAAUGACGAAAAUGAUGAAAAUCACCACUCGAUUGUAUCGCUAUUGAAUCUUCUCUUCUUCCUCCAUCCAAAAUGAUGAAAAUUAGGGUUGAAUCAUUCAAAGUCUGAAUUUUAUGUGUGUGUCGCUUGAAUCUAAAUCGACUGAGAUUGAAAUUGUUUGCAAAUUACUUGAAAAAGAGUGACGUGAUUUCAGAACUGAAUCAAAAUUGUUGUGCUGAACUGAAAUUAUUUGAUUUAGAUCUAUUCAAAAUCGUGAUUGUGUUUUAGAAUCAGAAGUGUAUACUGUUGUAAUGUUUGAAGAAUAAUCGAAGAAGAUAAGAAGCUGGUCAGCGAUGUUGACAAGUAACCAUAUCAUCCCGUUUCAUCUUUCUAUUAUAUAUAAACAUGCAGUAUACAUUUUGGCUGUUCAUUUGUUUAUAUUGAUAUCGAGUUUUUUGAUGUUUAUGAGUGUAGAUCUCCAGUUAAUGAUGUUGUUAACAAAGAAGAUAAGGGUUGUUGGGUGAAUAAGAUGGCGAUUUAGGUUAAUUAAUCACGUUUUAAAUUGAUUAUAAAUGUUUAAUAUGGAGCCUUUGUUAUUAUUCUACAUAUUUGUUUGAAAGGUUAAGCCAAUCGAGACUGAUAUGAUUGGAAAAUCAUAUGUUGAUUUUGGAACUUUAUAUAACUUUUAGGCAAAGGUGAAGAAAAGAAGAACAGGUUUAAAGUUACCUCUUUGUGUUUUAAACAAAUCUCUGGAUAUAAACAGAGGUGAAGCAAAGAAGAAUAGGUUUAAACAGGGGUAAGCGUUUUUUAUUUUACUUAUUGGAGUUGCAUUUUCUUAUAUUGAUAUCGAGUUUUUUUUAUGUUUAUGAGUGUAUAUCUCCAGUUAAUGAUGUUGUUAACAAAGAUUUAGUGUGGUUGUCUUUACAUGAAUCAAGGAUGUUGCACAGAUGUAUUGUUCAUCUGUUGAUUAUCUUUCUCGAACCCAGGAAUAGAAAGUUUAUUCAUACGAAUUCAGAUUGAAAGUCUUAUUCACACGAAUCCUCAUAUUCACGAAUCAGUGAUUAACAAAUACGUGAAUUCAGUUUCGUACAAAUCAGUGAAUUCAGAUUCAUCUUGCUGAAUAUAUGUGCAGAAUCUAGUGUUUAAUUUGUCACGGAUUAGAAAUUGAUAUUUGAACGAAUCCAUAAUUCUUGCAGGUUAAUCACAGAUCUGUUACGAAUCAACAUUCAGAGUUGUUAUGAACUAAAUGCAUCUGCACGAUUGAAAUUAAGUACAUCUGCAUAACUGUUUGAUCUGCAAUAUAGUUACUGUUUGAACUGUUUAGAAAUCAAGUUCAGAAUCUGCAGAACUAAUUUGCACAGAAUUUUAGUCCAUUCGCAGAAUCGAACUAUAUCCGCAGUAUCUAUUUUUGUUCAUCUGCAGUUAAUCAUAUAUGUCCAUCUGUAUAGCCGUUUGAUUCAGAAGUUCAUUCACUCGAAUCAAAUAAAACUUCAUGCGUAGAAUUCGCUGAAAACAGUAUUAUCCACUGCAGAAGUGUUUGUUUGCUGAAUUAUCUGCUGCAGAAUUGUCUUUUAGAUCAAACUUAAAUCAAUAUUUUUGUCCUUCCGCAGAAUUGACAUUCAUUCACUGAUUAUUAUUGUCAUUCGUUGAAAUCCGAGUUUGUCCGCAGUAACAAUCUGCUGCAGAAUUAUUAUAUACAGAUUUUCUAUCUUUCUAUCCAGAUGUUGGUUGUAGGAAAAGAAAGAAAUUUGAUGCUUAUAAGGCUUAAUUCAAUUCUCAACAAUUAAGAUAUGAAUCAGGUGCCUAUGUUUAAUUUGCUUUACUAUUUUCAGUCAUGUUAUCAGUACAUGGUAAUUACAGUAUUUACAUAUUAAAUGACACGUCAAGCUAAUACUAGCAAGUGCUUUUAAUCACCAGAGAUAUGGAUCAUGAUCCUCAAUCAUUAAUUGAGCUUACAGGUACUUCAGAUGAAAGCGGACUCACUUUUCAUGUUGAGGAGGUAUGAAGAGGUUAUUCAGAUUCUUACAUCUGAUAAAGCAGAUACACCCGCUUGAAGCCUCGAAGAUUCAAACAUUUUUUGGAGAUCUUGAUUAGUUGAUUCUCAAUGUUUAUUUUUUCGGUAUUUGGUUUUGGAUGUUAAUACUGAUGACUUUAUCAUUCUCUGUGAUGAAGGAACAUCAAUUAUUGAAAGACCGUAAGAAGAAUCAAAAAACGACUCGUGUUUGUGGGGAAAACGGUUCGAUAAAUUCAUCACAAGGUGCCUCAAAUCAGAACAAUAGCAAAGGAAACUCCUCUCCUUUUAAAGAAAGCCAAAUAGAAGAAAAGAUUUGGUGAUUAUAUUAUUGUUUGUUUGAAUAAAUAGGCCUUUGGCUUUGAGGAUAAAAUUGUGGUUCUGAAUGUAAUUAUGGUUUUAAGGAUAAAAUAGGCCCUUGAAACCUCUGUUUGUUGUCAAACAUGUAUUUGGCAAAGGUUUGUUUUAUAUUUUAAAACCUCUGUUUGUUGUGAACAGAUGUUAGAACGUAAAACAGUGGUUCAUACAUCUGUUGACUUUGGUCAA
Molecule: long non-coding RNA, 2741 nt
Organism: Helianthus annuus (common sunflower)
Lineage: Eukaryota; Viridiplantae; Streptophyta; Magnoliopsida; Asterales; Asteraceae
Exons: 3
Source: RefSeq, a predicted model, not a curated record